UACGGAGGGUGCAAGCGUUAUCCGGAUUUACUGGGUUUAAAGGGUGCGUAGGUGGGUCUGUAAGUCCGUGGUGAAAUCUCCGAGCUUAACUUGGAAACUGCCAUGGAUACUAUAGAUCUUGAAUACUGUGGAGGUUAGCGGAAUAUGUCAUGUAGCGGUGAAAUGCUUAGAUAUGACAUAGAACACCAAUUGCGAAGGCAGCUGGCUACACAAAUAUUGACACUGAUGCACGAAAGCGUGGGGAUCAAACAGG
Molecule: ribosomal RNA, 253 nt
Filed under: uncultured bacterium
Lineage: Bacteria
Description: partial 16S ribosomal RNA
Rfam family: Bacterial small subunit ribosomal RNA
Source: RNAcentral